Molecule: ribosomal RNA, 724 nt
Filed under: uncultured bacterium
Lineage: Bacteria
Description: bacterial SSU rRNA
Rfam family: Bacterial small subunit ribosomal RNA
Source: RNAcentral
CCUGCCGAUAACUCCGGAAUAGCCUUUCGAAAGAAAGAUUAAUACCGGAUAGUAUACGAAUAUCGCAUGAUAUUUUUAUUAAAGAAUUUCGGUUAUCGAUGGGGAUGCGUUCCAUUAGUUUGUUGGCGGGGUAACGGCCCACCAAGACUACGAUGGAUAGGGGUUCUGAGAGGAAGGUCCCCCACAUUGGAACUGAGACACGGUCCAAACUCCUACGGGAGGCAGCAGUGAGGAAUAUUGGUCAAUGGGCGAGAGCCUGAACCAGCCAAGUAGCGUGAAGGAUGAAGGCUCUAUGGGUCGUAAACUUCUUUUAUAUGGGAAUAAAGUUUUCCACGUGUGGAAUUUUGUAUGUACCAUAUGAAUAAGGAUCGGCUAACUCCGUGCCAGCAGCCGCGGUAAUACGGAGGAUCCGAGCGUUAUCCGGAUUUAUUGGGUUUAAAGGGAGCGUAGGUGGAUUGUUAAGUCAGUUGUGAAAGUUUGCGGCUCAACCGUAAAAUUGCAGUUGAAACUGGGAGUCUUGAGUACAGUAGAGGUGGGCGGAAUUCGUGGUGUAGCGGUGAAAUGCUUAGAUAUCACGAAGAACUCCGAUUGCGAAGGCAGCUCACUAGACUGUCACUGACACUGAUGCUCGAAAGUGUGGGUAUCAAACAGGAUUAGAUACCCUGGUAGUCCACACAGUAAACGAUGAAUACUCGCUGUUUGCGAUAUACAGUAAGCGGCCAAG